Long non-coding RNA from Hermetia illucens (black soldier fly), 1202 nucleotides. RefSeq lists it as uncharacterized. The transcript has 2 exons. Lineage: Eukaryota; Metazoa; Arthropoda; Insecta; Diptera; Stratiomyidae. The record is from RefSeq and is a predicted model, not a curated record.
UGAAAAGCAGAGAAAAAAUAAAAACAAGAAAUAUUACAGGUAGCCAAGUGGAAUCACAAGUAACAUCUGUGUUGCAGCGUACAUUAUGGGGUUUUGUGGACAUGUGCACUUCCAGCGUACCUCAUUAAGAAGACAUGUCCAAAGAGACUUUUAAAUGGACCAGACCACCCAUUCGGAGUCGAGUUAUUUAGCGCCAUUAAUUAGAUAUUUGCGGAAAGUUACCAAGGAAUUAUCCAUACAUGAUUCGAUCUGAAAACACAUCGGAUGCAAUCUCACACGGUUUCUGUUCACUUCUGCAGACAAUCCGUUGUGGAUGUGAAUUAGUAUGCAGAGUUGAUAGUGCCCUGAAUAAUCCGCUUUUUGCCUCUAUGAGUUGAAUUUGAUGGAAUAGCAAAAAAGGUUAAGUCUAUGCAUAUCUUCAAGAGAUAAUUCCAACCAAAGUAAUGUGUAAAUCACAGUAGCCAUGCAUGUCUAUCACAUUUACGCAUGUAAACAAUUGUAAGCUUGUUAAAAUUGGUUUAAAGUUUUUGUGCAGUGAAUGAAGCAGAAUCUUUAAGAAGGCGAAAAUUCGUACCCGCGGUUGUAAUUUCAAGGUGGAAUGUGUGAAACAUUUCUUUCCAAGCGGCAUGCAUUUCAUCAGCAUCGAAUUAGAUUUCGGCUUGUUGAUCAUUAUCAUUUCGCGCAGUUUCAAAAUUUUCUUUAAAAUUUAUCAACAUUUUGAAAUUUUAUCAGAGUUUCGCCUCAUGGAUAAGCUGUUGUCUGGAUGACAAACAAUGAAUUCUUCCAUAGACUGUAUGACUACAUAUAAUAUCUAAUAACAGAGAAGUUAAUCAAUUCGAUGUAUGUAAGACCGGUGGCCACCAAUUCGGGUAAUCAUAUGAUUUGAAUUCAAUAACAUUAAACGGAAUGGGUGCCAAGGUCUUUUGAAUCAAUUCAAAAACGAUUUUUUGCGAAAUCUAAAUUUCUAUUAUUGUUUUUUCUGCUCUUCGCCGACUACUGUUGAUUUCGUACUAUUCGAUUUAAACGUGUAUUACACGGAGAUUCCAUGGAUAAAAAGAUAAAUUGUAAGCUUUUAUGUGGAUCUAGUGUGACGGAUGUUCGUUAAAUUUGGUUUAAUUUGUAUUUGCAUUAGGAGAAAUCUUUUAUAUUUUGAUUAACAUUUUGGCGUUAGAUCUUGAUGCAACAAUUUUGAUUGAAUAAUA